AUGAUAAGCAAAGACAUUUCUAGACAAGUGCCGAGGACCAAAUCCAAGUCUCUGCACAUGCUAGACAAAUGCUGCCCCGCUGAGUUAUGCCAGGGAGGCUUCGAACACAAGUUCCUGACUCCUCCUGCUUCUUCCUGAUUCUGUGUGUGUGUGUGUGUGUGUGUGUGUGUGUGUGUAGCUCUUUCCCUUGGCAUCUUUUUGGGUACUGUGAUGAUGGAGAGGUUCUCAGAGCCUUCCUUGCCAAGUCUGGUCCUGCUGCUGGCUGCCCGCUGGGAGCUGAGGUGGAGGUUGUCUGGUGGACUAUACCAGCCAGGCUCGAAUUAUAAUAAUCUGAGCAGACAGAAUUAUCACAAGUGGUUAUGAACUGCAGUGAGGGCUGGAGGAAGGAGAGGAGGUUGACAAGAGGUAAGACGGUAAACUCAGGAGCUGAGGUGAUAGGAGAGGCUUGGGCUGGCCUGGUGCUCUGGUGACCCUUGUCCUUCACUUCACUGGACUGAGGGUGACCUAGGGUGUCUGUGAAGCACAUCUCUGGUUGUGUCUGUGAAGGGGUUUCCAGAGAUAAUUUACUAAGGGGGAGAAGACCUACUCUGAACAUGGGGUACUGUCCCCAAUCUAGAGGACUGGAUAUGACAGGGGAGAGAAGAGGAAGUCAGUCCGGUGGAGACUCUCCCCUCUCCUUAAGGUCACAGCUUCAACAUGGCUUCCCUCCAUCUCUGGCUUGCAUCCUCCUUCCCAGAUUCCUUUUUUUCCAGACCUAAGGCCCAGGGCUCUUUGUAGAGCCCUUUGCCUGUUUCCUCCAAACUCAAACGCUCCUCCAAAAAGGAGAAGGGAGGCCCACAAGACUCAGGAAGACAGUGGAGAGCCAGGCUCAGAGGACCCCCAGAUUCACAGGCCUUGCCCAAGGCUAUAAAGGUGGAACUGACAGGGAGCUCCAGGAUUGUGUGUGUGUGUUUGUGUGCAUGUGUGCAUGUGUGUGACUGCCCAGGCUGCCUUUGCUCUACCCACACUCCUGUACACAUGGACCUGUGCAAGCAUGUCGACUCCUCAGGUACAUGGGCUUUCUUAGAAACACAGCUUUUUGCUGUUGUAGGUGUUUUUCACCACUACUUUAUCUGGGUGACUAUUCGGGCAUUUGCUCACAUCUCUCCAGUCACACAGCACGUGACUAUGGAGCUGGGGAUGUGGGCCUAGAGACCAUCACUGGAGUCUCUAAUACUUGAGGCUACAGUGUCAACCUUGGAUAAGUGGAAGGAAGGUUGCUCCCUGGUGUGCUCUGUGUCUUUCUGGGGUGCCCUGUGUGACACUGUGAUGAGCCUCCUGAGGUUGCCUGCCCUUAAGGUCUCCUCCUCAAGUCCUUGGGAAGAAUUAUCAAUGUCCAAGAGCAGCUUCUAAGAAGGGAAGAACCGCAAGGCCCCACCCCCUGCGGGGCUUCUGUCCCUGCAUUUGCUGAGUAAUGAGAACAUCUGAGGCCCAGUAGGGGAGCAAGCAAAGGGGACUGGAAGAUCUGAAAUGCACUGAGUGGUGAAUCAGGGCCACGGUAUGGCCUAGUAUACUCUUUUAGAGAGCCUGAGGUCGCCUUGGGGGAGGAGGGAGCACUGGAAGAAGGGACUGUGUUCUGUGGAGGCCUCUGACUGCUGUGUGGUAUGAGCAAGCUUCAUCCUGCUCUGAGUUGUGUAAAUCAGUGGCUUCCAAAAGGAGCUUCGUGCUGGUUGAUUCCUUUUUACACAGUGGGAUUUGGCUUCAUCUGAAUGCAAAGAACAAGGCAGGCUUAUCAACACUUUGCAUCUCCUGUGUAUGUGAAGCCACCAUUAACUGUCUUACACUGACCUCGAGGUGCAUACUUAACUCAUUCAUGUAGGCUGAAAGCAUCACCCGUGAGCUUAUCAGGGUCUAUGAGGAACACAUGGGCACAGGAGCAGAUUAAAACUAUAUCAGAAAACCCGGACUACGAAUUUAUUCAACACACCAAGAACAGUGAAGGUUGUUCUGUCCAUGCAGACCUGACCUUGGGUCUCAUCUGACUGGACGGCUGGCAGGUAGGGUUGUCAAUGGUGUACUUUCUGCCUUCCUAAGAGCCCACAGCGACCUGUGUUUGUGUCAUCUCUUUGCCUCCUGUAAGUCUUUUAUGAACUCUGCUGCCUCCUUAACUCCUCUGCAACCACUCUGUCACACAUGCAUUGUGGUGUGAAUGUGUUGUGUUAUCUGAGGAGUAAUGUUAGUGUCCAUUAUCAGAAUAUAAAGGACCUGAAGCUGGGGGGGUUGGUGGUACAUACACAUAAUCCAAUCAUCCAGAAACAGGGGCAGGAGAACCAGGAGUUCAAGGUCAAUUUUGGCUACAUAGUGAGUUGGAGACCAGUCUAGAUGAGAUGAGACCCUGUCUCAAAAAAUCAGCCAACUAACCAACCGAUUAUGAUUGCCAGUGGCCACACUAUUUAGGAAAAUCAGAAUUACUAGAUAAAUUACAGUCAAGAAUACUGGUAUAGUUAAUUAAUUUAUUAUUCUUCAAUAAAUCCUGAACUUGUUGAAAG
RNAcentral lists this long non-coding RNA (2528 nucleotides) under Mus musculus (house mouse). Its description in RNAcentral is "predicted gene, 49501". The record is from RNAcentral. Lineage: Eukaryota; Metazoa; Chordata; Mammalia; Rodentia; Muridae.